GCCAGGAGAGCAUGGGUGGUUCAUGCGCUCGACUUGUAAUCGAGAGACACCGGGGUUCAAAUCCCUGUCCUGGCU
This 75-nucleotide transfer RNA is filed under the name Halorubrum sp. AJ67. RNAcentral describes it as "tRNA-Pseudo". It matches the Rfam family "tRNA". From Rfam's summary of the family: Transfer RNA (tRNA) molecules are approximately 80 nucleotides in length. Lineage: Archaea; Methanobacteriati; Methanobacteriota; Halobacteria; Halobacteriales; Haloferacaceae. The record is from RNAcentral.